GAGCAAUCCGGCAGUGGCGGACGGGUGAGUAACGCGUAGGAAUCUAUCUCUGGGUGGGGGACAACCGUGGGAAACUACGGCUAAUACCGCAUGAUACCUGAGGGUCAAAGGCGCAAGUCGCCUGGAGAGGAGCCUGCGUACGAUUAGCUUGUUGGUGGGGUAAAGGCCUACCAAGGCGACAAUCGUUAGCUGGUCUGAGAGGAUGAUCAGCCACAUUGGGACUGAGACACGGCCCAAACUCCUACGGGAGGCAGCAGUGGGGAAUAUUGGACAAUGGGCGAAAGCCUGAUCCAGCAAUGCCGCGUGGGUGAAGAAGGUCUUCGGA
RNAcentral lists this ribosomal RNA (325 nucleotides) under uncultured bacterium. Its description in RNAcentral is "bacterial SSU rRNA". It matches the Rfam family "Bacterial small subunit ribosomal RNA", at positions 82 to 422 of the family's 1533-position model. The record is from RNAcentral.